Molecule: long non-coding RNA, 337 nt
Filed under: Mytilus galloprovincialis (Mediterranean mussel)
Lineage: Eukaryota; Metazoa; Mollusca; Bivalvia; Mytilida; Mytilidae
Source: RNAcentral
UUUUUUGUUCUUUACAGGUAUUUCCGCUGUUAUAAAUUUAUAUCGGAGCACUCCCGCUUUGGAUAAAUAGGUUUCAUGCUGAAACAAAUAUUCUCACAGAUAUUUACAAAGUGUGGUGGGGUGCUUUUAUGUUUAAAAUCGUUAUAUACAGGUUAGACAGUGAUUUUAAAAACAAAUGUUGAUAUCUUUUUAUAAUAUUUACAAAAAAAAAACGGUGCAGGAAAUGGACAUAAUUACAUUUCCGGAUGCGGGAAUAUAAAAAAAAAAUAUGUUUUGAAAAAAAUAGGUGCGGGCGGGUCCGUCGAACAAGGAAUCAAAUUGGUGUGGCCUUAGUAAA